This is a long non-coding RNA of Chenopodium quinoa (quinoa), 752 nucleotides long. RefSeq lists it as uncharacterized. The transcript is spliced from 3 exons. Lineage: Eukaryota; Viridiplantae; Streptophyta; Magnoliopsida; Caryophyllales; Amaranthaceae. The record is from RefSeq and is a predicted model, not a curated record.
UGCGAAUGAGUACAUAUCACUAAUCACUAGUUACUACUCACUACUCGUAGUAGAAAAAAUAAAAAUUAAAGACUUAAGAAAUGCACUAAUUUUAUAAAAAUAUUAGUCCUUGUAAUGUAUAGUUAUACUCCGUAUUAAAACAACAUAAUUAGAGGCACGUUAAUUUUACAAAAAAUCCAAGUCCCAAAUUCCCUCCCCCACUUCUCAGUUCUCACUAAUCAUCUACCAUGUAUAACCGCUACACUGAUUUCCCCUCCAUCGCCACUGACUCCGCGCCCAUGCUGCCUCCAUUGAAGAUCGGCGACUUCCCUUCUCCAUCGCUGUAGAAUUCCACUUAAGUACCACUUUUGGAACAGCUAGAUUCAAGAACCUAUUAGAAACUUUUUGGCGAGCUGAAGCUGAUAGCCUAAAGUCAAUCUUAUUUGGGCUCCUCAAGACUAGCUUUGGUACGUAGUUGAGCAGCAUAAAUAAGUUGAGUAUUUGGCUGCAUAAAUACACAACCGCAUAACAAUUGGCUUCUAAGUCUUCUUGCUGCUGGUUGCUGUUGGUGCUCGUCAUUACUGGUGUUGCCGCUCGUUGUUUCUGUUGCUGCUAUGCUCAGUUGCUAGUUGCUUGUUACCUUGUUGCUAUUCUAAUGUGUAUUAACUUUUUUUUUUUGGUACACAUGCUACUAAUUAUAUUACUGUUGUGAUGUAAACAUUACAGUCAUUUAAUAAAUUAAAUUUUAAUAUUUUAUUUGCAUAUACUAGUGU